UGCCGCGUGAGUGAUGAAGGCCUUCGGGUUGUAAAGCUCUUUUGGCGGGGACGAUGAUGACGGUACCCGCAGAAUAAGCCCCGGCUAACUUCGUGCCAGCAGCCGCGGUAAGACGAAGGGGGCUAGCGUUGUUCGGAAUUACUGGGCGUAAAGCGAGUGUAGGUGGUUAUCCAAGUUGGAUGUGAAAGCCUUGAGCUCAACUCAAGAAAUGCAUUCAGGACUGGAUGACUAGAGGACCGGAGAGGAUAGUGGAAUUCCCAGUGUAGUGGUGAAAUACGUAUAGAUUGGGAAGAACACCAGUGGCGAAGGCGGCUAUCUGGACGGUUUCUGACACUAAGACUCGAAAGCGUGGGGAGCAAACAGGAUUAAAUACCCUGGUAGUCCACGCCGUAAACGAUGGGUGCUAGACGUUGGCGAGCUUGCUCGUCAGUGUCGCAGCUAACGCGUUAAGCACCCCGCCUGGGGAGUACGGCCGCAAGGUUGAAACUCAAAGGAAUUGACGGGGGCCCGCACAAGCGGUGGAGCAUGUGGUUCAAUUCGACGCAACGCGCAGAACCUUACCAGCCCUUGACAUGUGACUCGCCGGCUCCAGAGACGGAGCCUUCGGUUCGGCCGGAGUCAACAC
Molecule: ribosomal RNA, 625 nt
Filed under: alpha proteobacterium Se3Pw_3470
Lineage: Bacteria; Pseudomonadati; Pseudomonadota; Alphaproteobacteria
Description: bacterial SSU rRNA
Rfam family: Bacterial small subunit ribosomal RNA
Source: RNAcentral